RNAcentral lists this ribosomal RNA (953 nucleotides) under Euspira gilva. RNAcentral describes it as "12S ribosomal RNA". The stretch from base 209 to 953 matches the Rfam family "Microsporidia small subunit ribosomal RNA". Lineage: Eukaryota; Metazoa; Mollusca; Gastropoda; Littorinimorpha; Naticidae. The record is from RNAcentral.
UUAUAUAAAAAAUAAAGUGAUACCUGUAAUUGUUCUUCUAAAAAAGAAAACAGAUUGGUUUAUCUUUAUAACAUAAGCUUGGCUCUGACUUAAAAAUAUAACUAUAGCAAAGAAAUACACAUGGUUUUUAUUGAUAGUAGUGAGGUUUGAAAUUAAAUAAAUUUAAAUAUAAAAUUUAAUGGUAUUUAUUUCAUAAGUAUUAUUUUAUAAAUGAUUCUAAGAUUGUACCACUAUACACCAGUGUCAAAUAUUAAUAAAGAAGUGAAAGCUUGCCUUAGUUAAGCUAAGAGAUUUGGUUAACUUGGUGCCAGCAUCCGCGGUUAGACCAAGAAAUUAAGUUAUAUAUUAUAGGUAAAAAAGAUAGUUAAACUAUAUUAAUACAAGUUUUAAGAUUUCUUAUCUAAAAGUAAAAUUUGAAAAUAAGAAAAUAUUUUAAUAUAAACUUGAUUAAAUGUUGAAGCUAUGAAAACUUAGGGAUAAACUAGGAUUAGAUGCCCUACUAUUCUAAGUUAUAAAUUAAUAUACUAUAUACCUGAGUACUACGAGUCUAAAAACUUAAAACUCAAAGAGCUUGGCGGUACUUUAUACCUUUCAGGGGAACCUGUCUCGUAAUCGACAAUCCACGUUCUACCUUACCUUUUUUAGCCUUAAAUCAGUUUGUAUACCGUUGUCGUUCAGGUAACUUUUUAAAAAAUAGAAGUUGGCAAAAAAGACUUUAAUCUUAAACGUCAAAUCAAGGUGCAGCCUAUAAAGAGGAGAAGAUGGGUUACAAUUAAAAAUUAUAACUACGGAAUAAGAAUUUAAAUAUUUUUAUAAAGGAGGACUUGAAAGUAAAAACCUGUAGAUAAAGUUUUUGAAUAUGGCUCUGAAGUGUGCACACAUCGCCCGUCGCUCUCGUUGAAAAAUGAGAUAAGUCGUAACAUAGUAGGAGUAAUGGAAAUUGUUCCUGGAUG